This 346-nucleotide ribosomal RNA is filed under the name uncultured bacterium. RNAcentral's name for it is "bacterial SSU rRNA". It matches the Rfam family "Bacterial small subunit ribosomal RNA", at positions 8 to 349 of the family's 1533-position model. The record is from RNAcentral.
AGAGUUUGAUCAUGGCUCAGGAUGAACGCUAGCGACAGGCUUAACACAUGCAAGUCGAGGGGCAGCGGGGAGUAGCAAUACUUCGCCGGCGACCGGCGCACGGGUGAGUAGCACGUGUGCAACCAACCCCGUACCGGGAGAUAACCCGCGGAAACGUGGACUAACAUCCCAUGAGACUCUAGAGCCGCAUGGCUCUAGAUCUAAAAUUCCGGUGGUACGGGACGGGCACGCGCGACAUUAGGUAGUUGGCGGGGUAACGGCCCACCAAGCCGACGAUGUCUAGGGGUUCUGAGAGGAAGGUCCCCCACACUGGAACUGAGACACGGUCCAGACUCCUACGGGAGCA